This 427-nucleotide ribosomal RNA is filed under the name uncultured bacterium. RNAcentral describes it as "partial 16S ribosomal RNA". It matches the Rfam family "Bacterial small subunit ribosomal RNA", at positions 354 to 796 of the family's 1533-position model. The record is from RNAcentral.
GUGGGGAAUAUUGGGCAAUGGGGGCAACCCUGACCCAGCGACGCCGCGUGAGGGAAGAAGGCCUUAGGGUCGUAAACCUCUGUUGUGUGGGAAGAAGGAAGUGACGGUACCACACGAGGAAGUCCCGGCUAACUACGUGCCAGCAGCCGCGGUAAUACGUAGGGGACGAGCGUUGUCCGGAAUUACUGGGCGUAAAGGGCGCGUAGGCGGUCAUUUAAGUCAGCUGUGAAAUGGUCCGGCUCAACCGGAUCAUGCGGUUGAAACUGGAUGACUGGAGUGCUGGAGAGGCAAGUGGAAUUCCCAGUGUAGCGGUGAAAUGCGUAGAUAUUGGGAAGAACACCGGUGGCGAAGGCGACUUGCUGGCCAGCAACUGACGCUGAGGCGCGAAAGCUAGGGGAGCGAACGGGAUUAGAUACCCUGGUAGUCC